RNAcentral lists this small RNA (158 nucleotides) under pig gut metagenome. Its description in RNAcentral is "Clostridiales-1 RNA". It matches the Rfam family "Clostridiales-1 RNA". The record is from RNAcentral.
GAUUACAGUGUCAAAAGGUAUUCUCCACGUCAUGCUUGCAUGUAAGUGGAGAUAUACCUUAUUGACACGCCCACACAUGAGCAAGAAGUGGGGCGGGGGCCCCAUAGAUUGCGAAUGCGGGGCAGGAUUGUGGAAGUGCGUAGCACGAAACAAUCCGU